GCUUACAGCCAUACCACUCUGACAAAGCCUGAUCUCAUCUGACCUUGGAAGCAAAGCAGAGUUGGGCCUGGUUAGUACUUGGUUGGGAGACUGACUGGGAGUACUAGGAGUUGUAAGCU
Ictalurus punctatus (channel catfish) is the source of this 119-nucleotide ribosomal RNA. The record is from Ensembl. NCBI's taxonomy places the organism in Eukaryota, Metazoa, Chordata, Actinopteri, Siluriformes, Ictaluridae.